CCAGACUCCUACGGGAGGCAGCAGUGGGGAAUAUUGGGCAAUGGGCGAAAGCCUGACCCAGCGACGCCGCGUGAGGGAAGAAGGUCUUCGGAUUGUAAACCUCUUUCAGCAGGGAAGAGGAAAGUGACGGUACCUGCAGAAGAAGUCACGGCUAACUACGUGCCAGCAGCCGCGGUAAUACGUAGGGGGCAAGCGUUAUCCGGAUUCACUGGGUGUAAAGGGAGCGUAGACGGCGACGCAAGUCUGGAGUGAAAGCCCGGGGCCCAACCCCGGGACUGCUCUGGAAACUGCGUCGCUGGAGUACGGGAGGGGCAGGCGGAAUUCCUGGUGUAGCGGUGAAAUGCGUAGAUAUCAGGAGGAACACCGGCGGCGAAGGCGGCCUGCUGGACCGUGACUGACGUUGAGGCUCGAGAGCGUGGGGAGCAAACAGGAUUAGAUACCCGAGUAA
Molecule: ribosomal RNA, 448 nt
Filed under: uncultured bacterium
Lineage: Bacteria
Description: bacterial SSU rRNA
Rfam family: Bacterial small subunit ribosomal RNA
Source: RNAcentral